GAAAUGCGAUAAGUAAUGUGAAUUGCAGAAUUCAGUGAAUCAUCGAAUCUUUGAACGCACAUUGCGCCCGCCAGUAUUCUGGCGGGCAUGCCUGUUCGAGCGUCAUUACAACCCUCAGGCCCCCGGGCCUGGCGUUGGGGAUCGCGGAAGCCCCCUGCGGGCACAACGCCGUCCCCCAAAUACAGUGGCGGUCCCGCCGCAGCUUCCAUUGCGUAGUAGCUAACACCUCGCAACUGGAGAGCGGCGCGGCCACGCCGUAAAACACCCAACUUCUGAAUGUUGACCUCGAAUCAGGUAGGAAUACCCGCUGAACUUAAGC
This 319-nucleotide unclassified non-coding RNA is filed under the name plant metagenome. Its description in RNAcentral is "partial contains 5.8S ribosomal RNA, internal transcribed spacer 2, and large subunit ribosomal RNA". The stretch from base 1 to 105 matches the Rfam family "5.8S ribosomal RNA", at positions 50 to 154 of the family's 154-position model. The record is from RNAcentral.